RNAcentral lists this ribosomal RNA (299 nucleotides) under Fibrobacter succinogenes. Its description in RNAcentral is "partial 16S ribosomal RNA". Lineage: Bacteria; Pseudomonadati; Fibrobacterota; Fibrobacteria; Fibrobacterales; Fibrobacteraceae. The record is from RNAcentral.
GGAGUCUGGGCCGUAUCUCAGUCCCAAUGUGGCCAAUCACCCUCUCAGGCCGGCUACCGAUCGUCGCCUUGGUGGGCCGUUGCCCCGCCAACUAGCUAAUCGGACGCAAGCUCAUCCCCUGUCGAUAAAUCUUUUGUCAACGCCCCAUGAGGAGCGCCACGAUAUCCGGUAUUACCCGCGCGUUGGCACGGCUAUUCCCGAACAGGGGGCAGAUUGCUUACGCGUUACUCACCCGUUCGCCGCUAUGCAUUGCUGCACCGCUCGACUUGCAUGUAUUAAGCCUGUAGCUAGCGUUCAUC